RNAcentral lists this ribosomal RNA (497 nucleotides) under uncultured bacterium. Its description in RNAcentral is "partial 16S ribosomal RNA". It matches the Rfam family "Bacterial small subunit ribosomal RNA", at positions 28 to 507 of the family's 1533-position model. The record is from RNAcentral.
GAUGAACGCUGGCGGCGUGCCUAAUACAUGCAAGUCGAGCGAACGGACGAGAAGCUUGCUUCUCUGAUGUUAGCGGCGGACGGGUGAGUAACACGUGGAUAACCUACCUAUAAGACUGGGAUAACUUCGGGAAACCGUAGCUAAUACCGGAUAAUAUUUUGAACCGCAUGGUUCAAAAGUGAAAGACGGUCUUGCUGUCACUUAUAGAUGGAUCCGCGCUGCAUUAGCUAGUUGGUAAGGUAACGGCUUACCAAAGCAACGAUGCAUAGCCGACCUGAGAGUGUGAUCGGCCACACUGGAACUGAGACACGGUCCAGACUCCUACGGGAGGCAGCAGUAGAGAAUCUUCCGCAAUGGGCGAAAGCCUGACGGAGCAACGCCGCGUGAGUGAUGAAGGUCUUCGGAUCGUAAAACUCUGUUAUUAGGGAAGAACAUAUGUGUAAGUAACUGUGCACAUCUUGACGGUACCUAAUCAGAAAGCCACGGCUAACUACGUG